UAAGACUCUAGUAGAUUGAAGACCUGGGAAAGUUGGAAUGCCAUGUUUCGUUGUCAACACAAAAUUAGGAACAGCAAUGAUUGAUAGUGUAGGUGGGCCGGUGAGGGUCAACAAUUUGUUGUCAACACUCAAUAUACCAACAAUUGGAAAUAAAAACAUGAAAAGAAAUGGAGAGACGUGUUGAAAAUAUCAUUGAGACAGUGGCUUCUAUGUCGACAGAAUCUGCUGCGAAAGAUCAAGGAAAUGGAGGAUGUGCAUCAUGAAGAAUUAAUGGUAUCAGAACACAACAUCAUGGAAGGUCUUAUUGACAAGAUCUUGGAGGAUGUCCUUUGCCAGAUGCCUCGCCAGCACUAAAGUCUAUUCUUCAGUCAGAUGCUACAGUUACAAAUGACAUUGAAUGGUCAGAUUUAUACAAUUGUGAUGAACAAUCCUCAACAAUACAUCAAACAAAAAUGCCUAUUAAACU
Molecule: long non-coding RNA, 466 nt
Organism: Ruditapes philippinarum (Manila clam)
Lineage: Eukaryota; Metazoa; Mollusca; Bivalvia; Venerida; Veneridae
Exons: 4
Source: RefSeq, a predicted model, not a curated record